GGGCCUAUAGUAUAGUGGUAAUAUGUUCGGCUGGCAGUCGAAAGAUUCGAGUUCGAUUCUCGAUAGGUCCA
This 71-nucleotide transfer RNA is filed under the name Candidatus Pacearchaeota archaeon. RNAcentral's name for it is "tRNA-Ala". It matches the Rfam family "tRNA". Rfam says of the family: Transfer RNA (tRNA) molecules are approximately 80 nucleotides in length. Their secondary structure includes four short double-helical elements and three loops (D, anti-codon, and T loops). Lineage: Archaea; Nanobdellati. The record is from RNAcentral.